GAGUGGCGGACGGGUGAGUAACACGUGGGUAACCUGCCCUAAAGUGGGGGAUAACAUUUGGAAACAGAUGCUAAUACCGCAUAAAACCUAGCACCGCAUGGUGCAAGGUUGAAAGAUGGUUUCGGCUAUCACUUUAGGAUGGACCCGCGGUGCAUUAGUUAGUUGGUGAGGUAAAGGCUCACCAAGACCGUGAUGCAUAGCCGACCUGAGAGGGUAAUCGGCCACACUGGGACUGAGACACGGCCCAGACUCCUACGGGAGGCAGCAGUAGGGAAUCUUCCACAAUGGACGAAAGUCUGAUGGAGCAACGCCGCGUGAGUGAAGAAGGUUUUCGGAUCGUAAAACUCUGUUGUUGGAGAAGAACGUAUUUGAUAGUAACUGAUCAGGUAGUGACGGUAUCCAACCAGAAAGCCACGGCUAACUACGUGCCAGCAGCCGCGGUAAUACGUAGGUGGCAAGCGUUGUCCGGAUUUAUUGGGCGUAAAGCGAGCGCAGGCGGUUUCUUAAGUCUGAUGUGAAAGCCUUCGGCUCAACCGAAGAAGUGCAUCGGAAACUGGGAAACUUGAGUGCAGAAGAGGACAGUGGAACUCCAUGUGUAGCGGUGAAAUGCGUAGAUAUAUGGAAGAACACCAGUGGCGAAGGCGGCUGUCUGGUCUGUAACUGACGCUGAGGCUCGAAAGCAUGGGUAGCAAACAGGAUUAGAUACCCUGGUAGUCCAUGCCGUAAACGAUGAGUGCUAGGUGUUGGAGGGUUUCCGCCCUUCAGUGCCGCAGCUAACGCAUUAAGCACUCCGCCUGGGGAGUACGACCGCAAGGUUGAAACUCAAAGGAAUUGACGGGGGCCCGCACAAGCGGUGGAGCAUGUGGUUUAAUUCGAAGCAACGCGAAGAACCUUACCAGGUCUUGACAUCCUUUGACCACUCUAGAGAUAGAGCUUUCCCUUCGGGGACAAAGUGACAGGUGGUGCAUGGUUGUCGUCAGCUCGUGUCGUGAGAUGUUGGGUUAAGUCCCGCAACGAGCGCAACCCUUAUUACUAGUUGCCAGCAUUUAGUUGGGCACUCUAGUGAGACUGCCGGUGACAAACCGGAGGAAGGUGGGGACGACGUCAAAUCAUCAUGCCCCUUAUGACCUGGGCUACACACGUGCUACAAUGGAUGGUACAACGAGUCGCGAGACCGCGAGGUUUAGCUAAUCUCUUAAAACCAUUCUCAGUUCGGAUUGUAGGCUGCAACUCGCCUACAUGAAGCCGGAAUCGCUAGUAAUCGCGGAUCAGCAUGCCGCGGUGAAUACGUUCCCGGGCCUUGUACACACCGCCCGUCACACCAUGAGAGUUUGUAACACCCAAAGCCGGUGA
Molecule: ribosomal RNA, 1353 nt
Filed under: Latilactobacillus curvatus
Lineage: Bacteria; Bacillati; Bacillota; Bacilli; Lactobacillales; Lactobacillaceae
Description: bacterial SSU rRNA
Rfam family: Bacterial small subunit ribosomal RNA
Source: RNAcentral